UAAACGGAAAUAUACAGAAAAAAAUAAUAAUUAAUUAUUCCGGAAAUGACGCAUUCUUCAAAGACCCGUAUGAACGUGACGUGUCAGAAUCCCGGAAUUUAGAGCUGCGUUCGUUUGAGCUCAUUCAGCACAAACAUUAUAAACACAUAAAUCGUGAUGGUGACAGACGUGCAGCUGGCGAUAUUUGCCAACAUGUUGGGGGUAUCGCUCUUUCUUCUGGUGGUUUUAUAUCAUUAUGUUGCUGUCAACAACCCAAAGAAACUCGAGUGAUGCUAUGUGUGGAGUGAACAGAGGUUGUGUACAGGGACCAGACAAACAUCAAACACCGAGAAUGGGGAAGAUCCAUUCUGUAAAUUUACAUUUUGUAUGCAAAUUCUGCUAAUAAACAUGUCAUUGUGAUGUA
Non-coding RNA from Paramisgurnus dabryanus, 403 nucleotides. Lineage: Eukaryota; Metazoa; Chordata; Actinopteri; Cypriniformes; Cobitidae. The record is from RefSeq and is a predicted model, not a curated record.